AUGUGCCCUAGAGUACAGGAGCGCCAGCAGACUGAAGAGCCAUCUCCAGGAACCAGAAAGGACAGCUGCCAUCAGGACCGACAUCAGCUUCAGCUACCCAAGCUGUCCGAAGUGUCUGAACUUGCCUGGGUUUUUUGUUUUUUUUUUUUUUUGAGUGUGAUACAGCAGCAGGCUGGCUGCAGGAGGUCUGAUCCUGCCUGUAACCCAAGCUUCUGCUGCCGUGCUUGUCCCUGCCAAAAGCAGAGGCUGUGGAUCAGCGACCUGAUGCGAAUUUGUGCUGAAAGUUACUCAGUGAAGUCCAGACAGCUGCAGCUGAGGAUGGGCUGUCAGCGCAAGGAGGAGGAAUAGAGCCACCACACAGCAGAGGGAUGAAGGAGAAAUUACCCAACAAGAUAAAGGAGCUCAACAGAAAGCAUACAGUUUUAAAUAACAGAUACUGCUUUAAAAGUAAUCCUGGUGCCAUAAUAUUCAUUAUAUGCACAUGAAAUAUGCAUAGUGCGUGACAAUGAAUGUAUUUCAGAACAAAGGAGAAAUAAGACACAAGAGAGUGACAUUACUGCACAGACUGAUGUAGGGGCUUCUGCAGUUCAUUGGUGAUAGACAUCCAUCCAAAAGACUCCAAAUCCCUACACCCAACCUAAUCCUAAAGCAUUUGGCUUCCAGACCGCCAGUGCUCUCCAUCUUUUCUGUCAUCAGAUGUGAAUCAUUUGGAUUAUCCUGCUUUUUCUAAUAUUCAAGUGGACUUUCCAUCAGGAAUUCCCUCAUGCCUUACCUCUUACAGACUGUUUCUUACUCUAUUGACAAAAUGAAGUUUUGGAUAUUUUGACAAAAUAUCUUCCUUGUUUUUCCUUUGUUUUGCUCCUCUUUUCUUUGGUUCUCUUCCUAGUUCCUGCUCACUAUCUCACUCAAUCUUUUGCAGAGAAACUGCAAAAAUGACAAGAAAUGGUAUAAAGAGGUGUUCUGUAUGUGGUGUUUUCAUGUAUCACAAAGUUUUCAUAUUUGGCACAAUAAUUUUAAAACUAUUUGGCUAAUCCUGCAUUUUCAAAACUAUGAAAAGCCUCUGGAACAGCAAGAAGAAAAUCAGAAAUUGAUACAUGAGAUUUGUGCAAGCAAAAUUAGAUCAUUUGUAUUUCAAAACUAAGAGGCUAUGAAGAAAUUA
RNAcentral lists this long non-coding RNA (1159 nucleotides) under Athene cunicularia (burrowing owl). RNAcentral's name for it is "lncRNA (ENSACUG00000006694.1)". The record is from RNAcentral. Lineage: Eukaryota; Metazoa; Chordata; Aves; Strigiformes; Strigidae.